RNAcentral lists this ribosomal RNA (1346 nucleotides) under uncultured bacterium. Its description in RNAcentral is "partial 16S ribosomal RNA". It matches the Rfam family "Bacterial small subunit ribosomal RNA", at positions 28 to 1381 of the family's 1533-position model. The record is from RNAcentral.
GACAAACGCUGGCGGCGUGCUUAAUACAUGCAAGUCGAACGGAAAGGCCCUGCUUUUGUGGGGUGCUCGAGUGGCGAACGGGUGAGUAACACGUGAGUAACCUGCCCUUGACUUUGGGAUAACUUCAGGAAACUGGGGCUAAUACCGGAUAGGAGCUCCUGCUGCAUGGUGGGGGUUGGAAAGUUUCGGCGGUUGGGGAUGGACUCGCGGCUUAUCAGCUUGUUGGUGGGGUAGUGGCUUACCAAGGCUUUGACGGGUAGCCGGCCUGAGAGGGUGACCGGCCACAUUGGGACUGAGAUACGGCCCAGACUCCUACGGGAGGCAGCAGUGGGGAAUAUUGCACAAUGGGCGGAAGCCUGAUGCAGCAACGCCGCGUGCGGGAUGACGGCCUUCGGGUUGUAAACCGCUUUCGCCUGUGACGAAGCGUGAGUGACGGUAAUGGGUAAAGAAGCACCGGCUAACUACGUGCCAGCAGCCGCGGUGAUACGUAGGGUGCGAGCGUUGUCCGGAUUUAUUGGGCGUAAAGGGCUCGUAGGUGGUUGAUCGCGUCGGAAGUGUAAUCUUGGGGCUUAACCCUGAGCGUGCUUUCGAUACGGGUUGACUUGAGGAAGGUAGGGGAGAAUGGAAUUCCUGGUGGAGCGGUGGAAUGCGCAGAUAUCAGGAGGAACACCAGUGGCGAAGGCGGUUCUCUGGGCCUUUCCUGACGCUGAGGAGCGAAAGCGUGGGGAGCGAACAGGCUUAGAUACCCUGGUAGUCCACGCUGUAAACGGUGGGUACUAGGUGUGGGGUCCAUUCCACGGGUUCCGUGCCGUAGCUAACGCUUUAAGUACCCCGCCUGGGGAGUACGGCCGCAAGGCUAAAACUCAAAGGAAUUGACGGGGCCCCGCACAAGCGGCGGAGCAUGCGGAUUAAUUCGAUGCAACGCGUAGAACCUUACCUGGGUUUGACAUGGAUCGGGAGUGCUCAGAGAUGGGUGUGCCUCUUUUGGGGUCGGUUCACAGGUGGUGCAUGGCUGUCGUCAGCUCGUGUCGUGAGAUGUUGGGUUAAGUCCCGCAACGAGCGCAACCCUUGUUCACUGUUGCCAGCACGUUAUGGUGGGGACUCAGUGGAGACCGCCGGGGUCAACUCGGAGGAAGGUGGGGAUGACGUCAAGUCAUCAUGCCCCUUAUGUCCAGGGCUUCACGCAUGCUACAAUGGCUGGUACAGAGAGUGGCGAGCCUGUGAGGGUGAGCGAAUCUCGGAAAGCCGGUCUCAGUUCGGAUUGGGGUCUGCAACUCGACCUCAUGAAGUCGGAGUCGCUAGUAAUCGCAGAUCAGCAACGCUGCGGUGAAUACGUUCCCGGGGCU